GGUUAAGCGACUAAGCGUACACGGUGGAUGCCCUGGCAGUCAGAGGCGAUGAAGGACGUGCUAAUCUGCGAUAAGCGCCGGUAAGGUGAUAUGAACCGUUAUAACCGGCGAUUUCCGAAUGGGGAAACCCAGUGUGAUUCGUCACACUAUCAUUAACUGAAUCCAUAGGUUAAUGAGGCGAACCGGGGGAACUGAAACAUCUAAGUACCCCGAGGAAAAGAAAUCAACCGAGAUUCCCCCAGUAGCGGCGAGCGAACGGGGAGGAGCCCAGAGCCUGAAUCAGCAUGUGUGUUAGUGGAAGCGUCUGGAAAGGCGCGCGAUACAGGGUGACAGCCCCGUACACAAAAGCGCACAUGCUGUGAGCUCGAUGAGUAGGGCGGGACACGUGGUAUCCUGUCUGAAUAUGGGGGGACCAUCCUCCAAGGCUAAAUACUCCUGACUGACCGAUAGUGAACCAGUACCGUGAGGGAAAGGCGAAAAGAACCCCGGCGAGGGGAGUGAAAAAGAACCUGAAACCGUGUACGUACAAGCAGUGGGAGCACCCUUUGGGGUGUGACUGCGUACCUUUUGUAUAAUGGGUCAGCGACUUAUAUUCUGUAGCAAGGUUAACCGUAUAGGGGAGCCGGAGGGAAACCGAGUCUUAACCGGGCGUUAAGUUGCAGGGUAUAGACCCGAAACCCGGUGAUCUAGCCAUGGGCAGGUUGAAGGUUGGGUAACACUAACUGGAGGACCGAACCGACUAAUGUUGAAAAAUUAGCGGAUGACCUGUGGCUGGGGGUGAAAGGCCAAUCAAACCGGGAGAUAGCUGGUUCUCCCCGAAAGCUAUUUAGGUAGCGCCUCGUGAAUUCAUCUCCGGGGGUAGAGCACUGUUUCGGCUAGGGGGCCAUCCCGGCUUACCAACCCGAUGCAAACUGCGAAUACCGGAGAAUGUUAUCACGGGAGACACACGGCGGGUGCUAACGUCCGUCGUGAAGAGGGAAACAACCCAGACCGCCAGCUAAGGUCCCAAAGUCAUGGUUAAGUGGGAAACGAUGUGGGAAGGCCCAGACAGCCAGGAUGUUGGCUUAGAAGCAGCCAUCAUUUAAAGAAAGCGUAAUAGCUCACUGGUCGAGUCGGCCUGCGCGGAAGAUGUAACGGGGCUAAACCAUGCACCGAAGCUGCGGCAGCGACACUGUGUGUUGUUGGGUAGGGGAGCGUUCUGUAAGCCUGUGAAGGUGUGUCGUGAGGCAUGCUGGAGGUAUCAGAAGUGCGAAUGCUGACAUAAGUAACGAUAAAGCGGGUGAAAAGCCCGCUCGCCGGAAGACCAAGGGUUCCUGUCCAACGUUAAUCGGGGCAGGGUGAGUCGACCCCUAAGGCGAGGCCGAAAGGCGUAGUCGAUGGGAAACGGGUUAAUAUUCCCGUACUUGGUGUUACUGCGAAGGGGGGACGGAGAAGGCUAUGUUGGCCGGGCGACGGUUGUCCCGGUUUAAGCGUGUAGGUGUGUGUUCCAGGUAAAUCCGGUUCACUUUAACACUGAGGCGUGACGACGAGGCACUACGGUGCUGAAGCAACAAAUGCCCUGCUUCCAGGAAAAGCCUCUAAGCAUCAGGUAACAUCAAAUCGUACCCCAAACCGACACAGGUGGUCAGGUAGAGAAUACCAAGGCGCUUGAGAGAACUCGGGUGAAGGAACUAGGCAAAAUGGUGCCGUAACUUCGGGAGAAGGCACGCUGACACGUAGGUGAAGUGAUUUACUCAUGGAGCUGAAGUCAGUCGAAGAUACCAGCUGGCUGCAACUGUUUAUUAAAAACACAGCACUGUGCAAACACGAAAGUGGACGUAUACGGUGUGACGCCUGCCCGGUGCCGGAAGGUUAAUUGAUGGGGUCAGCGCAAGCGAAGCUCCUGAUCGAAGCCCCGGUAAACGGCGGCCGUAACUAUAACGGUCCUAAGGUAGCGAAAUUCCUUGUCGGGUAAGUUCCGACCUGCACGAAUGGCGUAAUGAUGGCCAGGCUGUCUCCACCCGAGACUCAGUGAAAUUGAACUCGCUGUGAAGAUGCAGUGUACCCGCGGCAAGACGGAAAGACCCCGUGAACCUUUACUAUAGCUUGACACUGAACAUUGAGCCUUGAUGUGUAGGAUAGGUGGGAGGCUUUGAAGCGUGGACGCCAGUCUGCGUGGAGCCAACCUUGAAAUACCACCCUUUAAUGUUUGAUGUUCUAACGUGGACCCGUAAUCCGGGUUGCGGACAGUGUCUGGUGGGUAGUUUGACUGGGGCGGUCUCCUCCUAAAGAGUAACGGAGGAGCACGAAGGUUGGCUAAUCCUGGUCGGACAUCAGGAGGUUAGUGCAAUGGCAUAAGCCAGCUUGACUGCGAGCGUGACGGCGCGAGCAGGUGCGAAAGCAGGUCAUAGUGAUCCGGUGGUUCUGAAUGGAAGGGCCAUCGCUCAACGGAUAAAAGGUACUCCGGGGAUAACAGGCUGAUACCGCCCAAGAGUUCAUAUCGACGGCGGUGUUUGGCACCUCGAUGUCGGCUCAUCACAUCCUGGGGCUGAAGUAGGUCCCAAGGGUAUGGCUGUUCGCCAUUUAAAGUGGUACGCGAGCUGGGUUUAGAACGUCGUGAGACAGUUCGGUCCCUAUCUGCCGUGGGCGCUGGAGAACUGAGGGGGGCUGCUCCUAGUACGAGAGGACCGGAGUGGACGCAUCACUGGUGUUCGGGUUGUCAUGCCAAUGGCACUGCCCGGUAGCUAAAUGCGGAAGAGAUAAGUGCUGAAAGCAUCUAAGCACGAAACUUGCCCCGAGAUGAGUUCUCCCUGAGACUUAAAGUCUCCUGAAGGAACGUUGAAGACGACGACGUUGAUAGGCCGGGUGUGUAAGCGCAGCGAUGCGUUGAGCUAACCGGUACUAAUGAACCGUGAGGCUUAACCUU
Molecule: ribosomal RNA, 2905 nt
Filed under: Salmonella enterica subsp. enterica serovar Senftenberg
Lineage: Bacteria; Pseudomonadati; Pseudomonadota; Gammaproteobacteria; Enterobacterales; Enterobacteriaceae
Also listed under: 1 other name
Description: 23S ribosomal RNA
Rfam family: Bacterial large subunit ribosomal RNA
Source: RNAcentral